GACGAACGCUGGCGGCGUGCCUAAUACAUGCAAGUAGAACGCACAGUUUAUACCGUAGCUUGCUACACCAUAGACUGUGAGUUGCGAACGGGUGAGUAACGCGUAGGUAACCUGCCUGGUAGCGGGGGAUAACUAUUGGAAACGCUAGCUAAUACCGCAUAAUAUUAAUUAUUGCAUGAUAAUUAAUUUAAAGGUGCAAUUGCACCACUACCAGAUGGACCUGAGUUGUAUUAGCUAGUAGGUGAGGUAACGGCUCACCUAGGCGGAGAUACAUAGCCGACCUGAGAGGGUGGUCGGCCAAACUGGGACUGGGACACGGCCCAGACUCCUACGGGGGGGAGCAGUAGGGAAUCUUUGGCCAUGGACGGAAGUCUGAACGAGCAACGCCGCGGGAGUGGAGAAGGUUUUCGGAUCGUAAAGCUCUGUUGUAAGGGAAGAACGGGUGUGAGAGUGGAAAGUUCACACUGUGACGGUAGCUUAACAGAAAGGGACGGCUAACUACGUG
This 505-nucleotide ribosomal RNA is filed under the name uncultured bacterium. RNAcentral's name for it is "partial 16S ribosomal RNA". It matches the Rfam family "Bacterial small subunit ribosomal RNA", at positions 28 to 507 of the family's 1533-position model. The record is from RNAcentral.